AUACACGAGGGUUUGGUGGUGCCAUUAAUACGCAUGUCAGAGCGUUGGUGUACCCUUGCUAUAAAUACGGCUUGUUCAUGACAUCACUGCCACACUCUCAAAUUUGAGGCUCUACUCGUUAGAGUCUGCCUGAGAUACAAGCUCACAGAUAUAAGACGAACUCUCAUUGAGAACCUCAGGUUUGUGCCACUUCAUAAAAGAGUUGUAAAGAACCAUUAGUAUGAAUACCAUAGUUCACAUAGCCAUUUUGCUGGUCGUCAUGACAACAAGAUACCAAACAACAACAGCUCAAGGAACGAGUCACUGCGUGAUGAAAUGUGAAGAAUAUAAUAGAGCUUGUUUUUCACAGUGUCAAAGCCCCGACGACUGCAUAGACUGUGUUUUCUUAACAAGAGAUUGUAAAAAAAAUUGCAGAAAAACGGGAAAACGAGAAACGACAAUAAUGAGACAUUUUCUAAGAAAACGAAAUAUAUAGUUAUUUAAUAAAAUAUUAAAAAGUAUAGAAUUGAUUGGUGUAA
This is a long non-coding RNA of Exaiptasia diaphana, 518 nucleotides long. RefSeq lists it as uncharacterized. The transcript is spliced from 2 exons. NCBI's taxonomy places the organism in Eukaryota, Metazoa, Cnidaria, Anthozoa, Actiniaria, Aiptasiidae. The record is from RefSeq and is a predicted model, not a curated record.